CAAAAUGCGAUGAUGAGAAGAGUAAAUAAAAUGUUUCUAUACAGAGAGCUCCGCAAGCUGAAAUGGAGCAAGAAUCGUUUUGUUGAACCAAGUCUUUGAGUAGUACAUCGGAACCUACAGUAGGGGGUGGUGUAACGGGCGCUCCCGUUAUAGAGCUAAGGUAUAAGCAUAUUCAUGUCGUACCUGAUAAGGUUAGUAUGGAAACAUAUUAAUGAACUGGGGUGGCACCACGAUUUUAAACUCGUCCUCAAG
This 252-nucleotide non-coding RNA is filed under the name Halalkalibacter wakoensis. RNAcentral's name for it is "Bacillus wakoensis T-box sequence". It matches the Rfam family "T-box leader". Rfam says of the family: Uncharged tRNA acts as the effector for transcription antitermination of genes in the T-box leader family. T-boxes are found upstream of many aminoacyl-tRNA synthetase genes and some amino acid biosynthetic genes usually in Gram-positive bacteria. Lineage: Bacteria; Bacillati; Bacillota; Bacilli; Caryophanales; Bacillaceae. The record is from RNAcentral.